This is a long non-coding RNA of Lutzomyia longipalpis, 4535 nucleotides long. RefSeq lists it as uncharacterized. The record is from RefSeq and is a predicted model, not a curated record. NCBI's taxonomy places the organism in Eukaryota, Metazoa, Arthropoda, Insecta, Diptera, Psychodidae. The transcript is spliced from 2 exons.
AGGGUACAUUAAGUGAAAAAAAAAAGAAAAAACUUAUCAACGACAAACUAAUCACAAGCCCAUCUACUCCAUUGUUCAUUUGCACAACCAUCGAUAUUUUAUGAAAGAUGUGUAAUAAGUAAUAAAUUAAGAAAAAGGCCCGUUUUCUUCUGUAGCUCUUUUUUUCUUCAAAACUAUUCAAUAUUUACAUUUUCAAUCAAAGACAGUUACUAUUGAAUCUCAAACAAUUCAUUUUGGGUGAUUGACUGCGGUUAAAAUUUUCCCAAAAUGUGUGCAGAGGUUUUCUCCAUUGGAGAUGCUUAUAUUGAGACACAGAGCUCAACGAGAAAUGCCCACAAAUCUCCAAAUAGAUCUACAAAUAAUGAGAGAGCAAAAAAAACUAUAGUAAUAAUGAAUGUAACUGUUAACACUUUCUAUCAAUAUAACUUUUCGAUGGAUGUAAGAAAAGUUACGCGGGGAGGAAUACACAUGAUUUUGUAUCGAGGCUGUUCUGAAAGAUACUAAAAAAAUCGUUUUCUUUCAACUUUUUGACAACUUUAUUUUAACGUUUGACAUUUUCUUCUUCAAUAUGUUACGUUGGUUUUAACGUCUGGCACAUCUCAUGUCUUAAAAAAGAUUUGACAUUUCUCAAUUUUGACAUUCCUUUUCUGUAAGUAUUUGACAUUCCUUUUUUCUAACGUUUCACUUUUCUAUUCUAAAGAUUAAUUGUAUUUUUUAAGCUUAACGUUUCUUUUUUAGUCGUUUAAGUUUGUUUUAACGUCUGGCACUUCUUUUUAACAUUUGACAUUUCUCAAUUUUGACAUUCCUUUUCUAACGUCUAAAAACAGUGAAAAAAAUUCUUGAAAUUUCACGUAAGAAGUUCCUAAACUUUUCUUUUAAUCAAAUCUAUUUAAUUCUUAUGAAAAUUAAAUUUCUUUAUGCCUUCAAAGUCAAUAAGAAAAUUAACCGAAAGUACUGUAGUGCAAUGAGAAAAUCUAGGUCAAAUUAGAACUUCUUCUCAGAGAUAGAAAGCCUGUUAAAGAAAUUAUUUUUCAAAACUUCUAAAGCAACCUCGUUGUGUAUUCCAACGAUUUUUUCAUUACAUUCAAAACAUUAUUAAAAUAUUAUUCACGCACAGCAAUAUAAUUGUAAAAGAGUGGGAUAUUACGUUGAAAUAUUUUGCCAUGAUGGAUACAAUAUUCUGUUAAAUCGUAAGACCCAAUUUAAGAUCAACUUUCUAGUAUUUUCCAAUCAUUAGAAUUUAAUUAGAUAUAAUUUCAUAUUAAUAUAUGCAGCAUUGUUCAAUCUUUUGCAUUCCGACAAAAACACAACACCACAGUGAGACUGAAUCAUUUUUUUUCUACGUCUCUCGUAAACCAUAUAUAAUAUUAAUAUUUUUUUAUUCAUAUAUAAAUCCCAUGCUUUACAAUAUAGCCAUUUAAUAGUCUAAAGUAAUUAAAGUGGUUACAACAUCUGAAUUGUUCAUUUGAGAUACAUAUCUUUCGACAUUGUAUAUUAAAAUUUUAAAAUAUUCUACGCAUAGAGAUUAACAUUUAAGUAAUUUAAAGAAAAAAAAACGAUACAGAGUGGAUUGUGUGGGGCAGAAAAGAGAUGGUCUUGGAGCAUUUGUCUGCUGAAUGUUGGCAUAUUAAAAGUCAUUUGUGGUGCAUUGUAGCAUUAAUAUCUUUUCUCUAUGGAGGAUGGAAAUCUCCAUGUGUUGCUCAAAUAAAAUAAUAAUCGUAAAUUUUAAGUAUUCAAAUGAAUAGCGCUGUAAUUUUAUAUAUAAAACACUUUGUAUCUUAUAUACAGAAGUAUUAAACGGAGAAGAGUUGGGGAAAAUAGUUUAAAAUUUUUGAAAAAAAAAAUAAUACUUAAAUAAAAUCAUUGGCAAUAAAAUUAGUUGUUUUGUUCUCUUUUACGUGAAAUUUUUCAUUAUGAAAGUAAUACAUUUUUUUUCUCUAUUUUUAAGCAUCUUGACCAUUUUCUUAACCAUUUUCUUGGCUAUUUCUGUAAAUUGUUGGAUGUUCAAGAAAUAAUGCUCUGUGCUUAAGAAAUCUUUGUAUAAACGAAAGAAAAUCCUCAUUUGAAAAAUUCUUAAUUAUUUUUCAUUUAACAAAAUCAUUUUCUCUCUUUGUAUUCUCAUCUUUCGCAUGAACAUUUGGCGGUAUGGUGUACAAAGUAUCUCUCUGUACAAAAGCGUGUGCGAGGGAGAAGACAAAAUUGGUUUAAAACUUUUUUUUAUGUUGAAAGGAAUAAAAAUAUGAAGUUGUGUGUAUUUAUUUAAACAGACACUUUUAUAAGGAAUUGCUCACUCUGUGCUUGCCUCAAAAAUAACCAUCAACCAUCUCCCAUCCAUUCCCACUCUUCUUAUAAUUCCUUUGAAGUAAUACACAAAGUAAUUAUUUACAGUUGAUGCAUGCGGUUGUUUAUAUAUUUUAUAAUUAUAAAGUUAUUAAUAGAGAUUUUUCGUAUAUAUAUUCAUUUUUUCCCUCAGCGAGAUUGCCUUCAUAUCAACGUUUAAACUUUUCAAAACGUCAACUUUUCUUCUUUUUUUGAUGGAAGAUUCCCUUUGGAAUAUUUUAUAUUAUUAUGUUUCCCUCUGUGCCAUUCCCUUUAUCAUUUCUUCCUCUCUUCCACAUUGAUUUUAUUACAUAUUAAGAAAGAUUUUUUUUUCACCACAUGAAAAUAUGGGAAAGAGAUUAUGUAUAUACAAAGUAUGAAUGUUAAUGGAAAAGAGAUGACAAAAAUCCCAUUUAUUGCUAUAUUAAUUAUCAUUAAUUCUCCCUCUUGUCUCAAUUUACAAGAUUUGUCCCAUGGGCACUCCUCCGGGCAGUCUUCCCACUGCAUGGGGCCCCACGAAAAAAAAAAACGCGCAACAUAAGAUUCGGAGAAGCAGCAGCAAGGAAGAAAAAAUUUAAAUGGGGAGGUUGAAUUUGUUUUAAAUUAAAAUCCCCCUUCGUGUGAAUUAAUUAAUAUAUACAAAAUGCUGUAAACAUAUCGAGAAAUGAGUUCGGAAAGGCAAUUAAAUUCUCUCCACCAGACACUCGAAGGAACGAUUGUGGAGGCAUUUAAGAGUGUAUCGGCAAUUUUUUUCUUGCUCCAUAUUAGACAACAUUUUCCAAAGUGCCAAUCAAAUUCUAAUUAUCUCCAAUUAAAUCUGCUUAUAUUGCCACGAAAAAUUUAUUUUAAUAUUCGUUAAAUGUAGCAAUAUUUUUUCUUUCAAAGUUUCAUUUAAGUUUAUUCUUGUAUUUAUAUUAUUCAAUGAGAAAGAAUUAUUCCAUUCAUUGGAAUUUUAAGGACUAUUUUUUGCAAUAAUUAAAUCCGCAGUAGGGAGAUUUAAAGUCCCAGUCUGGUAUCCAGAUGAGGUAAAAUCGUGGACAAAGAUUGAGAAUGAAUUAAUCUUCAAGAUAUGAGAGACAUAUAUAAUUCUAAACCAAAAAUCAUCGGAAAAGAGAGUCAGGCUAUUAGACAAAAAAACCAACAAUGACGUCAUUGUUAAGAUUUUAGGACAAAAUUUUACCAGAUAUUCCUAAAUGGUCUAACAAUCUGUUGAAAAUGAGAUAUGUUUGAUUACAAGAUUACGUAUAUCACGCUUGUUUCCUUUAUUGAGGAUCUUUUUCAUACAAUAAUGAAUAAACUCCUUUGCUUAUAAAGCAUUAUCUGAUCCACUCAAGUAUCUGAGCUGUUUUUUUAUCUCUUCAAAAUAUGUCACAGUAAAUCUUUGUGGCAAAUCCAUUUUAUAUUAACAAAGAAUAAACGUCAAAUUUAUUUAUUAAAAAUUACUGAAUUAAUCACAAAGUUUUUCCUUUAAAAAAAUACCAAAACGAAAGGUAAUCAAUCCUGUACGAUGGAAAACACAAAAUAAACUACUUCCAUGUGAUGUAUAAAUUUCUGGCAGAAGUACCUGUAAUUACUUUAACGUGCGAUAAGUUUUAUUUUUAUCAGUCACUAUCUUAUCUAUUACGCAGAUAAAAUGGGUCACUUUGGCACCCAAAAGAGAGGUUGACGAAACUUUAGUAUACUUUCAGAAAAUCUCCUGAUGCAAGUGCUUUCUGUAGCUCAGAGACUUAUGGUUGUGUUUGCGUCAAUAUUGCUCCUUCUUGCGUUUCUGUUACUCCUUCAUUGGUGUUUCAAGCAAAUUCGCGAGUAUCGCAGCAGACAGCAAGAGGAGCCACCAAAUGAGUGUGAUAUCUACGUGAUAGAAAGUGGAAUUGGUGGGUCACAGAGGAAUAAUCAAGUACAGGAAGUACCAUCGUUUGAUAGUGUUGUUCUCAAAUCCGACGGUCUUCCAUCCUACGAAGAAGCCAUUGCGUAUCAAAAAAAGCACGAUUCUCAGAGAAAAACAAUGGAAACAACUUGUUAGAAGAUUACACAAAGAUUUUCCAUUUGGAAAAACCCCCGAAAAAAAAUAUUGAAACGAAACCUCCACAAUGGAUUAAAAGACUGUAUCUGUGAGAAAACAAUAAAAAGAUAAUGUAUGAGCGCAUAUCUCUAUGUACCUAUAAUAUACUAAAUUCCAUAUAAACGAUAUUUUAUUAAAUACUUUAUAUCCAUAA